This 468-nucleotide ribosomal RNA is filed under the name uncultured bacterium. Its description in RNAcentral is "partial 16S ribosomal RNA". It matches the Rfam family "Bacterial small subunit ribosomal RNA", at positions 28 to 507 of the family's 1533-position model. The record is from RNAcentral.
GACGAACGCUGGCGGCGUGCUUAACACAUGCAAGUCGAACGGAAAGGCCCUGCUUUUGUGGGGUGCUCGAGUGGCGAACGGGUGAGUAACACGUGAGUAACCUGCACUUGACUUUGGGAUAACUUCAGGAAGCUGGGGCUAAUACCGGAUAGGAGCUCCUGCUGCAUGGUGGGGGUUGGAAAGUUUCGGCGGUUGGGGAUGGACUCGCGGCUUAUCAGCUCGUUGGUGGGGUAGUGGCUUACCAAGGCUUUGACGGGUAGCCGGCCUGAGAGGGUGACCGGCCACAUUGGGACUGAGAUACGGCCCAGACUCCUACGGGAGGCAGCAGUGGGGAAUAUUGCACAAUGGGCGGAAGCCUGAUGCAGCAACGCCGCGUGCGGGAUGACGGCCUUCGGGUUGUAAACCGCUUUCGCCUGUGACGAAGCGUGAGUGACGGUAAUGGGUAAAGAAGCACCGGCUAACUACGUG